RNAcentral lists this ribosomal RNA (253 nucleotides) under uncultured bacterium. Its description in RNAcentral is "partial 16S ribosomal RNA". It matches the Rfam family "Bacterial small subunit ribosomal RNA", at positions 524 to 776 of the family's 1533-position model. The record is from RNAcentral.
UACGUAGGGUGCGAGCGUUGUCCGGAAUUAUUGGACGUAAAGAGCUUGUAGGCGGUCUGUCGCGUCUGCUGUGAAAAUCCGGGGCUCAACCCCGGACUUGCAGUGGGUACGGGCAGACUAGAGUGUGGUAGGGGAGACUGGAAUUCCUGGUGUAGCGGUGAAAUGCGCAGAUAUCAGGAGGAACACCGAUGGCGAAGGCAGGUCUCUGGGCCACUACUGACGCUGAGACGCGAAAGCGUGGGGAGCGAACCGG